UAAAACAUAGCAUUACUGCAGUGGAUCCCAUUAGAACUCCGCAGUUAAGCAUUCUCUGGCUAGAGUAGUACUGGGAUGGGUGAUCGCCCAGGAAUUCCUAGUGUUUUAC
Molecule: non-coding RNA, 109 nt
Organism: Picea glauca (white spruce)
Lineage: Eukaryota; Viridiplantae; Streptophyta; Pinopsida; Pinales; Pinaceae
Source: Rfam